GACGAACGCUGGCGGCGUGCCUAAUACAUGCAAGUCGAACGCUGAAGGAGGAGCUUGCUUCUCUGGAUGAGUUGCGAACGGGUGAGUAACGCGUAGGUAACCUGCCUGGUAGCGGGGGAUAACUAUUGGAAACGAUAGCUAAUACCGCAUAAGAGUAGAUGUUGCAUGACAUUUGCUUAAAAGGUGCAAUUGCAUCACUACCAGAUGGACCUGCGUUGUAUUAGCUAGUUGGUGAGGUAACGGCUCACCAAGGCGACGAUACAUAGCCGACCUGAGAGGGUGAUCGGCCACACUGGGACUGAGACACGGCCCAGACGCCUACGGGAGGCAGCAGGAGGGAAUCUUCGGCAAUGGACGGAAGUCUGACCGAGCAACGCCGCGUGAGGGAAGAAGGUUGUCGGAUCGUAAAGCUCUGUUGUAAGAGAAGAACGAGUGUGAGAGUGGAAAGUUCACACUGUGACGGUAUCUUACCAGAAAGGGACGGCUAACUACGUG
This 495-nucleotide ribosomal RNA is filed under the name uncultured bacterium. RNAcentral describes it as "partial 16S ribosomal RNA". It matches the Rfam family "Bacterial small subunit ribosomal RNA", at positions 28 to 507 of the family's 1533-position model. The record is from RNAcentral.